UAGUUUGCUCUUAUUUUAGCCGAGUAUUCUUACCUCUGAACACAGUAAGAAGAAAACUUGGUCAAUAAUCGAUCUUUCUAUUUAUGGCUUCAUUCAGGGAGGUUCCUUCUCCCAUUUGUGUACCAUAAGUUCGUGGAAAUGUUUGUUGGCACUUGAAGUUCAAUCCUAUCCAUUUCAGUUUGUACUACAAGCCACUUGUUUGAUGUCCCUUAUUUCUGAAUCGGUUGGAAUCUGCUUAAUCUUUCAAAGUUUCUGGAACAAUGUUGCAAAUUUUUCGAUACGGGGUCUAUCAUGAUCCUUUUACGAUUUUUAAGUGAAUUGUAAGCUGCUUAAGUUGAAAGAUCAGAAUGCGAAAUGGGAUUAACAACUAUAACAAGACUAGAGAAUCGACUUCGUUCGAAUACAUAUUGUACACAGCUUGCAUCACAAUACCACUCUCUUAAACCAUUUUCGAUUAUGAAACAAAUCUGCUGCUCCAAACAUUUUACCAAAUUUACAUGGAUAUAUUUACUCCUUCCAGAAAGUCAUUCGUUUCCAUUUCCCCUAACAGCAAAGCGUCUUCACCUCAGCAUGCCAUAUUUGCGGAAGCAAAGUACACUUCAACCUGAAAAAAAUAAAGUUGUUUUUGUUAAUAAAAGAUCUCAACACAUAAAAUGGAGAUAUAUAUCUCUUUAACCGAUGUGCGAGUUGCAGGCUUAC
This 699-nucleotide long non-coding RNA is filed under the name Linum usitatissimum (flax). Its description in RNAcentral is "long non-coding RNA (LUSI_LNC007228)". The record is from RNAcentral. Lineage: Eukaryota; Viridiplantae; Streptophyta; Magnoliopsida; Malpighiales; Linaceae.